AGGCAUUUUUGCCGUACGAAAGUGUUAUCAAAGACGUGUCAUUACUAUAAUAUGCUUGAACAAGAUGAUUCCUGUACAAAAGAGUUGGCAUCGGAGAUUUUGGAUAUUGAGGAUCUUGUUCGACUUGGGAAGAAAGAAAGUCGCUGUCCUUAUUUCAUCUGUGAAAAAUUCCAUUUGUGAAAAAUGCUGACAUUGUAUUCAUGCCGUACAAUUAUUUAAUCGAUACAAAG
Molecule: long non-coding RNA, 230 nt
Organism: Dendronephthya gigantea
Lineage: Eukaryota; Metazoa; Cnidaria; Anthozoa; Malacalcyonacea; Nephtheidae
Exons: 3
Source: RefSeq, a predicted model, not a curated record